RNAcentral lists this ribosomal RNA (967 nucleotides) under uncultured Russula. RNAcentral describes it as "eukaryotic LSU rRNA". The stretch from base 532 to 685 matches the Rfam family "5.8S ribosomal RNA". The record is from RNAcentral. Lineage: Eukaryota; Fungi; Basidiomycota; Agaricomycetes; Russulales; Russulaceae.
UCCUUGUCAUUUAGAAGAAAGAAAAAGUCGUAACCAAGUUUCCGUAGGUGAACCUGCGGAAGGAUCAUUAUCGUACAACCGAGGCGCAAGAGGCUGUCGCUGACCCUUUAAAAGGGUUGUGCACGCUCGAGCGCUCUCACACAAUUCCAUCUCACCCAUUGUGCAUCACCGCGAGGGUCCCAGUGGCUGUAAAUGCCCCAAGGUGGGAAUGCGAGGCGAUGUUCUCCCUCAACGGAGUCACGUGCUUGUGCGCCGAGUUCAAGACUGUCCCCUCCAGAAAACUUUGGUGUCCAUAGUCCCUCGCAGCGUAGGCUGUGGCUGGAUUUUGGAGUAAUCAGCCCUUGUCUAGCCAGGGAAGAAAUUCCGCAGGUGCCAGGAGUCACAGAGUUAGUCUUAGGAGAUCAGGGCACGUCAUCUGUCGCGCGGAUGCGCCGUAUCCAUCGUUGACCUUAAUACCUCGCGUGGUCAUAUAAAAGAUGGGACACAAUGGAGAUCGUUACCUUACGUUUUGAUGUCCCACCCUAUCAAUUCAACUUUUUACAAAGGAUGUCGGGGCUCCCGGAUUGGGGAAGAAUGCAGGGAAAGGUGAUACGUAAUGUGAACAGAAGAACUCAGCAAUUCGUUGAAUAGUGUAGUGCGCCUAGCGCCCAUUGGCAAUACGAGGGGCCCACCGGUUUGAGUGUUGUGAAAUCGACAAAAACCGCAGUUAAAUGAUCCAAGUAAUCGGGAAAAAGGAUUCAGACAUGGAGGUUUCAUGGUCGCCUCUGCUUUCAAAAGUGAGCUCCUGUCAAAUGAAUUAUUGGGGUCGUCCUUACAACAUCCAAGCAUGAUAAGUUGUUUGGACGUUUUGGACACCGCACGGUCUUUUAGAUGCCUGGUCGUACCCUUGUCCCGUCAAAUAAUGGUUCUUCUUUAACCCCAUCUACAUGGCGCGAGCCAUAACAUCAAUAAAACUCACCUCUCUCUC